This 397-nucleotide long non-coding RNA is filed under the name Capsicum annuum. RNAcentral describes it as "long non-coding RNA (CANN_LNC014976)". The record is from RNAcentral. Lineage: Eukaryota; Viridiplantae; Streptophyta; Magnoliopsida; Solanales; Solanaceae.
AGAAGGAGGGGAACUGGAUUUUUUUCUCCAUUCACGAACACCUUCCAUGCACACAACAGAUUCACCUCACCAUCACAUACGUACUCCAUUAUUUUUCUUGGUAACAGCAAGCACACCACCCACGCACAUACGCACAGCUUUACACUCCACCACACACGACAUCACACACACAUCAUCGAUUGAGGAAGAGAUCAAGAGGGGUAAUAAUAGAGAAAGCAGUGAGUGAGAGAGAAGGGUGAGAGGUCUUUCUUUUUUCGGCAAGCUCUCGCCGAAAAAUACUAUAGCCGUCGAUUUCCUCCUAAUGGUUGUUACUGUUGAGUUUUACGGAGCUUUGGUGUAGCGAAAACAGGACUUCCAGCCUUAUUUUAUCCAAAUCCACAUAAAAAAUAGUUACUCC